UUCAGUAAUCUUCACAGCAUCUUCGCCAGGACUAGAUGUGGAACUCUUCUUUUCACUAGAACACCGACAGGCCAUUGUACGGAAUAAUUCCCAGCAGAUGUAGAAGAGAGAGACCAGACUCCUGCCUGCAUUUUAUUUAGAAGCCAAUCUUCUCUCCAGAUUUGCUUGCUUCUUGAGUUGACAGAUAACCGAAGCAGAAACGACUAGCAGAGGGAAGAAUCAAAUGUGAGCCGGUGGCUUUGAAAACUCCAUCAACAGAGCAUCUGAGAUACAAACUAGUCAUAAAAACAUAGGGUACAGAUGUUGCUAGAACUUAGGACUUGACCAGCUUGUGUGACACGAUCACACAAAAUGGAAAUACACAGGAAGAGUGUGAUCGUGGAACAAGGUUACAAACCUUUGUGACUUCUUUCGUGGCAGCACGAGUUGUCGCUGACAGCGAAACAACGGGAACACAGCCAGCUGUCUUACGGGGCUUCUUUUGGAGGCAGGAAAUCAGCCACGAUAAGCAACUGAGGAGAAGCUACUGAAGUUAUUUUACACUGAAGCCCGAUUCCCAGUUCAUAAUCUAGGAAGCCUGGGAGUCUAACUAUGACUGAUACUUUUACACGUACUUUCGUUGCAAAUAAAAAGUAAAGAGCAAAAUAGUUUCUGGAGAAUUUGGGUAACUGUUG
Molecule: long non-coding RNA, 674 nt
Organism: Molossus molossus (Pallas's mastiff bat)
Lineage: Eukaryota; Metazoa; Chordata; Mammalia; Chiroptera; Molossidae
Exons: 4
Source: RefSeq, a predicted model, not a curated record